Molecule: ribosomal RNA, 2250 nt
Filed under: Triticum aestivum (bread wheat)
Lineage: Eukaryota; Viridiplantae; Streptophyta; Magnoliopsida; Poales; Poaceae
Description: partial small subunit ribosomal RNA
Source: RNAcentral
AUGGCUUCUGCCGAAACCCUAGCCCGCUCCCCAUCUCGCGAGCCCUCGUCCGACCCGCCCCGCGAUGCCUCGCGCGACGCCUCCUCCGAGCCCCACCACAACGGCUCAGCCAACGCCGCUGGCGACGGCGACUCGUCCUCCCGCCGCCGCCGCCGCAGCCGAUGGGAGCAGUCCAACGACGAAUCCGGUGCCAAUUCAGGCGGCGAGGGCGGCGCGGGAGGACGGAAGCGGAAGUCGCGCUGGGCCGAGGAGGAGCCCCGCCCGACCAUCGCACUUCCGGAUUUCAUGAAGGACUUCGCCGCCGAGAUGGAUCCCGAGGUGCACAACCUCAACUCGCGCCUCCUAGAGAUUUCGCGCCUGCUGCAGUCGGGGCUCCCCCUCGACGACCGUCCUGAGGGCGCGCGCUCGCCGUCCCCUGAGCCAAUAUACGAUAACCUGGGCAUCCGCAUCAACACCCGCGAAUACCGGGCGAGGGAGCGCCUUAACCGCGAGCGGCAGGAGAUCAUCUCCCAGCUGAUCCGCCGCAAUCCCGCCUUCAAGCCCCCGGCUGAUUACCGCCCACCCAAGCUCCAUAAGAAGCUCUACAUCCCCAUGAAGGAGUACCCUGGGUACAACUUUAUCGGGCUCAUUAUUGGGCCCCGUGGCAACACACAGAAGCGGAUGGAGAAGGAGACGGGGGCCAAGAUCGUAAUCCGAGGGAAGGGCAGCGUCAAGGAAGGGAAGUUGUUGCAGAAGAGGGACUUGAAGCCAGAUCCCAGUGAGAAUGAGGAUCUUCAUGUGCUUGUUGAGGCUGAUACCCAAGAAGCGUUGGAGGCUGCUGCAGGCAUGGUGGAGAAGCUGCUUACCCCUGUGGACGAAGUGCUAAAUGAGCACAAACGGCAGCAGCUGCGGGAGCUUGCAGCCCUGAACGGAACAAUCAGGGACGAUGAGUUUUGUAGGACUUGCGGGGAGCCGGGUCACCGACAGUAUGCAUGCCCGAACAGGACAACAACGUUUAAGAGCGAGGUGCAGUGUAAGAUCUGUGGCGAUGGUGGCCACCCGACAAUUGAUUGUCCAGUGAAGGGCACAUCUGGGAAGAAAAUGGACGAUGAGUACCAGAACUUCCUUGCUGAGCUUGGUGGGAGUGCACCUGAGUCCAUGAACAAGUCUGGUGGUCCGAUGCUGGCUAUAACAGGUGGUAGUGGUGGUGGCGGCGGCGGCAGUGGUAGCAACUCACCCUGGGCUGGGGGUAAUGGUGCAGCAACAACAGGAGCCAACGGGCUCAAGAAGGAUUAUGACGAGACCAAUCUUUAUAUUGGGUACUUGCCACCUAUGUUUGAUGAUUCAGGGCUGAUCAACCUAUUUUCACAAUUUGGGGAGAUUGUUAUGGCAAAGGUUAUAAAGGAUCGCAACACAGGGCAGAGUAAAGGGUAUGGAUUUGUGAAAUAUUCAGAUGUCUCACAGGCUAAUGCAGCUAUUGCUGCAAUGAGUGGUUACCAUCUUGAAGGGAGAACUAUUGCAGUCCGAGUUGCAGGCAAGCCACCACAGCCAGCUGCCCCCCCUGGUCCUCCAGCAGCGCCAGCACCACAGAUGUACCACUCUGCAGAUCCUUCUGCUGGUGGCUACAACUCGCAGCCCUACAUGGGAGGACAUCCACCACCACCAGCUCCUCCAGGUAGCUAUGCUCCAGUUCCUUGGGGACAACCACCACCUUAUGCUUCGUACCCUCCGCCGCCACCACCAGGCAUGUACAAUCCUGCACCUGGCCAAACUGCUCCACAUUCAUAUGGUAUGCAAUACCCACCACCACCAGCUCCAGUACCUCCACCAGGCACUACGUCAAAUGAUGGUGCACAGAACUACCCUCCGGGUGUAACACCACCAAGUUCUGGUGCACCUACCCAGCCUGUCCCUGCUCCAGCAUAUGGGACCUCUGGUGCGCAAAACAUGCCACAUAUGUACCCUCCACCACCUUAUGGUUAUGCCCCAUAUUAUCCAUCUGUCACACCAGUCCAGCCGCCUCCACCACCACCACCACCAGCUAGUGUUGAUCCUUCACAAAGCAUUGCAACUGCACCUUGGGCCACUCACAACGCACCUCCUCCACCGCCACCGCCGGCUAGUGUUGAUUCCUCGCAGAGCGUUGCAACGGCACCUUGGGCUACCCACAAUGCACCGCCGCCACCACCUUUGCCAUCCUCCAACGACCAGCCCACUCCUCCCUAUGGUGCUGAUGCAGAGUAUGAUAAAUUUAUGUCGGAGAUGAAGUGA